Molecule: small nuclear RNA, 211 nt
Filed under: Neogale vison (American mink)
Lineage: Eukaryota; Metazoa; Chordata; Mammalia; Carnivora; Mustelidae
Description: Neovison vison (American mink) U2 spliceosomal RNA (ENSNVIG00000019543.1)
Rfam family: U2 spliceosomal RNA
About the family: U2 is a small nuclear RNA (snRNA) component of the spliceosome (involved in pre-mRNA splicing).
Source: Rfam by way of RNAcentral
AUUCCUUUCACAAAGAAAUGGAGGGCAGGAACGAGGCUAGUGUGGUUUGGAAGUAGUAUCUGUUCUUAUCAGUUUAAUAUCUGAUACGUCCUCUAUCCGAGGACAAUAUAUUAAAUGGAUUUUUGGAGCAGGGAGAUGGAAUAGGAGCUUGCUCCGUCCACUCCGCGCAUCGACCUGGUAUUGCAGUACUUCCAGGAAUGGUGCACCCCCU